UGGAGUUCUAGAUCUUAUAUAUUAUUCCAUUUGAGCAGUGGAAUGAUUUAGAGAUGAAGGCCAGGAACCAGGAUACCAAAUCAGCCAUCUGGGAUGGUGCUCAAGAAUCUGCAUUAACAAACUCACCAGGGGGUGGUGACUGACCACUGCCAGCAACCAAGAAGGAGCCUGAUGGUUAAGUUCUGGGCCUGAAGCAAAAACUUCACAAGUGUCGUUUAGCCAUCUGUUCACUUGUUUUGUGUUUACUGAGCACUUCUGAUGUGCAAAGCCCUGUGGCGGAUCUGGGGAUACAGCAGUGAAUGAGUUAGGCAAGCUCCAUGCUCACUAACUGGGAGUAAAAAGAAAACAAAAUAAUUACA
Felis catus (domestic cat) is the source of this 359-nucleotide long non-coding RNA. RefSeq lists it as uncharacterized. The record is from RefSeq and is a predicted model, not a curated record. Lineage: Eukaryota; Metazoa; Chordata; Mammalia; Carnivora; Felidae. The transcript is spliced from 2 exons.